RNAcentral lists this long non-coding RNA (230 nucleotides) under Elaeis guineensis (African oil palm). RNAcentral describes it as "long non-coding RNA (EGUI_LNC082122)". The record is from RNAcentral. Lineage: Eukaryota; Viridiplantae; Streptophyta; Magnoliopsida; Arecales; Arecaceae.
GCGACGGGGGGAUUGGCCGCAACAGAUUUGGCGCGCCAGGUAGGGGGUUAUUCGACAGAGGUAAGCUAGCGAGCUUCGUAGAAGCUUGAAGAAACCUCUCGAGAUGACGAAAAUCAGAGCUCAGCGAUCGAGAGCUACCGAGUCGGCGAGGCACUCUUCCCGUCGGGAAGAGGCCUCUCCUUCACCUUCCAUGGCGGAGCCCAGCUCUUCGCAUUCGGUGGUAACUACGG